AGACCCGAAACCCGGUGAUCUAGCCAUGGGCAGGUUGAAGGUUGGGUAACACUAACUGGAGGACCGAACCGACUAAUGUUGAAAAAUUAGCGGAUGACCUGUGGCUGGGGGUGAAAGGCCAAUCAAACCGGGAGAUAGCUGGUUCUCCCCGAAAGCUAUUUAGGUAGCGCCUCGUGAAUUCAUCUCCGGGGGUAGAGCACUGUUUCGGCUAGGGGGCCAUCCCGGCUUACCAACCCGAUGCAAACUGCGAAUACCGGAGAAUGUUAUCACGGGAGACACACGGCGGGUGCUAACGUCCGUCGUGAAGAGGGAAACAACCCAGACCGCCAGCUAAGGUCCCAAAGUCAUGGUUAAGUGGGAAACGAUGUGGGAAGGCCCAGACAGCCAGGAUGUUGGCUUAGAAGCAGCCAUCAUUUAAAGAAAGCGUAAUAGCUCACUGGUCGAGUCGGCCUGCGCGGAAGAUGUAACGGGGCUAAACCAUGCACCGAAGCUGCGGCAGCGACACUCAGGUGUUGUUGGGUAGGGGAGCGUUCUGUAAGCCUGUGAAGGUGUGUCGUGAGGCAUGCUGGAGGUAUCAGAAGUGCGAAUGCUGACAUAAGUAACGAUAAAGCGGGUGA
RNAcentral lists this ribosomal RNA (617 nucleotides) under Salmonella enterica. Its description in RNAcentral is "partial 23S ribosomal RNA". It matches the Rfam family "Bacterial large subunit ribosomal RNA", at positions 711 to 1324 of the family's 2925-position model. The record is from RNAcentral. Lineage: Bacteria; Pseudomonadati; Pseudomonadota; Gammaproteobacteria; Enterobacterales; Enterobacteriaceae.